AUACUGACAUUCGUAGAAACAAGAGAUUGUAUCGAGAUAUCAAAGGCAACAGAUUGAUUGUCCGGAAAAUACGAGGCAUAGAGCUUACUUGCUGAUAACUGUGAAUCAGUCAUACAUGUGGACAGAGAGUCGGCGGAAAUGAAUCUGGUUAAAGCAUCAGCCCAUGAAAAUAGCUCGACGACCACAACUAAGAGUAAAAGUGGGCUUCUCCAAAGCCUCAUUUUGCAGUUGAUGGUAGUGAGAAACAGUUGAUUAAUGGAAAAACAGGAAGGUGAAGUCAAAAGAUGAUAUUAAUGAAUAGAAAAGACAGACUGUGAAUUCCAAUGUAACUGAGUCUCAAAUGUAGCUAAAAUUCUCCACAACCAGUUAUUAUUAUUCUUAAAUUAAGUUAGAUUUGAAAACUUAUUAAUUCCAAUUAAAUCGAGGGAUAUAUAACAAUGGGAAUGAUUAACAAAAAUAUAGUUUGCUCUGGGUGGCUGUAUUAUCAUCAAAGAUUCUCAACCCGUUCAAGACAAGUGAUGACUAGAGACAAAUCCCGGUACCUGUUACCUUAGAUCACAGCCAUUUAACAUGGAAAACUACCAGCACACUAACCAGUAAAUAACUGGUAAUUGAGGA
Schizosaccharomyces pombe (fission yeast) is the source of this 618-nucleotide non-coding RNA. The record is from the annotation of a GenBank genome assembly. NCBI's taxonomy places the organism in Eukaryota, Fungi, Ascomycota, Schizosaccharomycetes, Schizosaccharomycetales, Schizosaccharomycetaceae.